GCCGACGUAGCUCAGUUGGUAGAGCAGCUGAUUUGUAAUCAGCAGGUCGCGGGUUCGAGUCCCAUCGUCGGCU
This 73-nucleotide transfer RNA is filed under the name Tepidanaerobacter syntrophicus. It matches the Rfam family "tRNA". From Rfam's summary of the family: Transfer RNA (tRNA) molecules are approximately 80 nucleotides in length. The record is from Rfam by way of RNAcentral. Lineage: Bacteria; Bacillati; Bacillota; Clostridia; Thermosediminibacterales; Tepidanaerobacteraceae.